AGAGUUUGAUUCUGGCUCAGGAUGAACGCUAGCGGCAGGCUUAACACAUGCAAGUCGAGGGGCAGCGGGGAGGAAGCUUGCUUUCUCCGCCGGCGACCGGCGCACGGGUGAGUAACACGUAUGCAACCUGCCCCUGUCAGGGGGACAACCCGCCGAAAGGCGGGCUAAACCCGCGUACAUGCCACCGGGGCAUCCCGGAGGCAGGAAAGGCUUCGGCCGGACAGGGAUGGGCAUGCGGCGCAUUAGGCAGUAGGCGGGGUAACGGCCCACCUAACCGACGAUGCGUAGGGGUUCUGAGAGGAAGGUCCCCCACACUGGUACUGAGACACGGACCAGACUCCUACGGGAGGCAGCAGUGAGGAAUAUUGGUCAAUGGUCGGGAGACUGAACCAGCCAAGCCGCGUGAGGGAGGAAGGUACAGAGUAUCGUAAACCUCUUUUGUCAGGGAACAAAGACUGGGACGCGUCCCCGGAUGAGUGUACCUGAAGAAAAAGCAUCGGCUAACUCCGUGCCAGCAGCCGCGGUAAUACGGAGGAUGCGAGCGUUAUCCGGAUUUAUUGGGUUUAAAGGGUGCGCAGGCGGUCUGUUAAGUCAGCGGUCAAAGCCCGGGGCUCAACCCCGGCCCGCCGUUGAAACUGGCAGUCUCGAGUUGGAGAGAAGUAUGCGGAAUGCCCGGUGUAACGGUG
Molecule: ribosomal RNA, 686 nt
Filed under: uncultured bacterium
Lineage: Bacteria
Description: bacterial SSU rRNA
Rfam family: Bacterial small subunit ribosomal RNA
Source: RNAcentral